This 25-nucleotide non-coding RNA is filed under the name Mus musculus (house mouse). Lineage: Eukaryota; Metazoa; Chordata; Mammalia; Rodentia; Muridae. The record is from RNAcentral.
UGUGCAUCUUGUCGCCACAGGCCUG